This 214-nucleotide long non-coding RNA is filed under the name Olea europaea (common olive). RNAcentral's name for it is "long non-coding RNA (OEUR_LNC004876)". The record is from RNAcentral. Lineage: Eukaryota; Viridiplantae; Streptophyta; Magnoliopsida; Lamiales; Oleaceae.
CGUAAUAGAUCGGUAGCAUUUUUAUCAAACUCAUUUCUGUACAAACUGAUUUUCGCUUCUAGAAAAUAGGGAUGACAUAAGAUAGUUGGCCAUGUUAUGUGAUUGGAAAAUCUAAUUUUUGCGCAAAAAGGACGCCCAGACAGGCGCUGCUUUAUUGACUUUUGACACGUACGAGCUUCCUCGGUUACAAACUCAACAUUUCGUUACACAUGGG